AAUCUCAAUUCUAUCUGAGAAUAAUCCGCUGUUAACAGUAACCAGUUCUCCUGCAAGGAAACAAUAAAUGAGGAGGACCACAGGUGUUACAUGCUUCAUUUCUCUCAAAUAAGGUCUCAUGCUCAAGUCUGGUGUAUAUGACAAAAUACAAAAGAGCAUGCUAGCCUCUGAGGGUGUUCACGACUCAAACAAAAUUGCCCCCCUAGGGAGCUAGACCAAAAACAACUGGUUUUCUGAUGAUGAAGUUCAGAGUACUAAACAUGCAAUAUAUUGAUAAAAAAACAAAAUUAAGUCAAAUUUGGUUUUCAGGGGAUAAAUACCAAUUUAUGUAAAGUUAUAGUGAUCAAGUUUCAACUGAUUUCAGUAAUUAUACCACCAAAAAUGACAACAAAACAGGACAGUUGGGUAAGAGAAAGAGGAUGCCCAAUAACAGCUGUGUACAUAAGAGAGGA
Vigna radiata var. radiata (mung bean) is the source of this 452-nucleotide long non-coding RNA. RefSeq lists it as uncharacterized. Lineage: Eukaryota; Viridiplantae; Streptophyta; Magnoliopsida; Fabales; Fabaceae. The transcript is spliced from 3 exons. The record is from RefSeq and is a predicted model, not a curated record.